CUGUCUAUACAGGGAGUGCAGAAUUAUUAGGCAAAUGAGUAUUUUGACCACAUCAUCCUCUUUAUGCAUGUUGUCUUACUCCAAGCUGUAUAGGCUCGAAAGCCUACUACCAAUUAAGCAUAUUAGGUGAUGUGCAUCUCUGUAAUGAGAAGGGGUGUGGUCUAAUGACAUCAACACCCUAUAUCAGGUGUGCAUAAUUAUUAGGCAAC
Pelobates cultripes (western spadefoot toad) is the source of this 209-nucleotide non-coding RNA. The record is from the annotation of a GenBank genome assembly. Lineage: Eukaryota; Metazoa; Chordata; Amphibia; Anura; Pelobatidae.